GGCUCAGGAUGAACGCUGGCGGCGUGCUUAACACAUGCAAGUCGAACGAAGCACUUCAAUCGAUUCUUCGGAAUGAAGUUUAGUGACUGAGUGGCGGACGGGUGAGUAACGCGUGGGUAACCUGCCUCACACAGGGGGAUAACAGUUGGAAACGGCUGCUAAUACCGCAUAAGCGCACAGUACCGCAUGGUACAGUGCGAAAAACUCCGGUGGUGUGAGAUGGACCCGCGUCUGAUUAGCUGGUUGGUGAGGUAACGGCCCACCAAGGCGACGAUCAGUAGCCGGCCUGAGAGGGUGAACGGCCACAUUGGGACUGAGACACGGCCCAAACUCCUACGGGAGGCAGCAGUGGGGAAUAUUGCACAAUGGGGGAAACCCUGAUGCAGCGACGCCGCGUGAGUGAUGAAGUAUUUCGGUAUGUAAAGCUCUAUCAGCAGGGAAGAAGAAAUGACGGUACCUGACUAAGAAGCACCGGCUAAAUACGUG
RNAcentral lists this ribosomal RNA (486 nucleotides) under uncultured bacterium. RNAcentral describes it as "bacterial SSU rRNA". It matches the Rfam family "Bacterial small subunit ribosomal RNA", at positions 21 to 507 of the family's 1533-position model. The record is from RNAcentral.